GGCGGCAUAGCUCAGUUGGUUAGAGCGGCGGAAUCAUAAUCCGUAGGUCGUUGGUUCAAAUCCGACUGCCGCUA
Molecule: transfer RNA, 74 nt
Filed under: Parachlamydiales bacterium
Lineage: Bacteria; Pseudomonadati; Chlamydiota; Chlamydiia; Parachlamydiales
Description: tRNA-Met
Rfam family: tRNA
About the family: Transfer RNA (tRNA) molecules are approximately 80 nucleotides in length. Their secondary structure includes four short double-helical elements and three loops (D, anti-codon, and T loops).
Source: RNAcentral